Molecule: ribosomal RNA, 629 nt
Filed under: uncultured archaeon
Lineage: Archaea
Description: bacterial SSU rRNA
Rfam family: Archaeal small subunit ribosomal RNA
Source: RNAcentral
UAAUACUGGAUAGGCAAUUAUUCCUGUAAUGCUUUUUUGUUUAAAUGUUUUUUCGCCUAAGGAUGGGUCUGCGGCCGAUUAGGUAGUUGGUUAGGUAAUGGCUAACCAAGCCUUUGAUCGGUACGGGUUGUGAGAGCAAGAGCCCGGAGAUGGAACCUGAGACAAGGUUCCAGGCCCUACGGGGUGCAGCAGGCGCGAAACCUCCGCAAUGUGAGAAAUCGCGACGGGGGGAUCCCAAGUGCCAUUCUUAACGGGAUGGCUUUUCUUUAGUGUAAAAAGCUUUUGGAAUAAGAGCUGGGCAAGACCGGUGCCAGCCGCCGCGGUAACACCGGCAGCUCUAGUGGUAGCAAUUUUUAUUGGGCCUAAAGCGUCCGUAGCCGGUUUAAUAAGUCUCUGGUGAAAUCCUGUAGCUUAACUGUGGGAAUUGCUGGAGAUACUAUUAGACUUGAGACCGGGAGAGGUUAGAGGUACUCGCAGGGUAGAGGUGAAAUUCUGUAAUCCUGGGAGGACCGCCUGUUGCGAAGGCGUCUAACUGGAACGGUUCUGACGGUGAGGGACGAAAGUUAGGGGCGCGAACCGGAUUAGAUACCCGGGUAGUCCUAACUGUAAACGAUGCGGACUUGGUGUUG